GACGAACGCUGGCGGCGUGCUUAACACAUGCAAGUCGAACGGAAAGGCCCCCACCUUGGUGGGGGUGCUCGAGUGGCGAACGGGUGAGUAACACGUGGGUGAUCUGCCCUGUACUUCGGGAUAAGCUUGGGAAACUGGGUCUAAUACCGGAUAGGACCAUGGUUUAGUGUCUCAUGGUGGAAAAAUUAUUGUUUUGGUGCAGGAUGAGCUCGCGGCCUAUCAGCUUGUUGGUGGGGUAAUGGCCUACCAAGGCGUCGACGGGUAGCCGGCCUGAGAGGGUGGACGGCCACAUUGGGACUGAGAUACGACCCAGACUCCUACGGGAGGCAGCAGUGGGGAAGAUUGCACAAUGGGCGCAAGACUGAUGCAGCGACGCCGCGUGGGGGAUGACGGCCUUCGGGUUGUAAACUCCUUUCGUUAGAGACGAAGCCACACCUUUUUUGGGUGUGGUGACGGUACCUUUGUUAAGAAGCACCGGCUAACUACGUG
RNAcentral lists this ribosomal RNA (489 nucleotides) under uncultured bacterium. Its description in RNAcentral is "partial 16S ribosomal RNA". It matches the Rfam family "Bacterial small subunit ribosomal RNA", at positions 28 to 507 of the family's 1533-position model. The record is from RNAcentral.